UGGGGAGUCUUCUAAUGGCAGGAAAACCGGCUCUGACCCGGUAAACCGUGGUUCGACCCCACGUUCCCCAGCCA
Molecule: transfer RNA, 74 nt
Filed under: Acidithiobacillus ferrivorans
Lineage: Bacteria; Pseudomonadati; Pseudomonadota; Acidithiobacillia; Acidithiobacillales; Acidithiobacillaceae
Description: tRNA-Gln
Rfam family: tRNA
About the family: Transfer RNA (tRNA) molecules are approximately 80 nucleotides in length. Their secondary structure includes four short double-helical elements and three loops (D, anti-codon, and T loops). Further hydrogen bonds mediate the characteristic L-shaped molecular structure. tRNAs have two regions of fundamental functional importance: the anti-codon, which is responsible for specific mRNA codon recognition, and the 3' end, to which the tRNAs corresponding amino acid is attached (by aminoacyl-tRNA synthetases). tRNAs cope with the degeneracy of the genetic code in two manners: having more than one tRNA (with a specific anti-codon) for a particular amino acid; and 'wobble' base-pairing, i.e. permitting non-standard base-pairing at the 3rd anti-codon position.
Source: RNAcentral